UAUUUAUUUUAUAUUUUGUAAACACACAAACAUGGAGAGUAUUUUUUUCCCGACAAAAUUACAAUUAAAUACGGUUUACGAGUGUACGUUUCGCCGACACCAUCAGAUAUUUUGAUUCUGAUGAGUUGAGACGAUUUCGACACAUUCGUCUUCUAAAAGGUUCUCAACCGGCCUGUCCAAAAUUUGGAAGUAUCCAUCAUGUUACAAAACUUCAGCCCGGUUGUACAGACACUAUUCGGCACUUUGUUCACAUGGGGCUUAACGGCUGUCGGUUCCAGUUUAAUCCUGGUAUUCAGCGGUACACAAAGGAAGUUAUUGGAUGGAAGCUUGGGAUUCUCAAGUGGUGUGAUGAUAGCUGCAUCAUAUUGGUCGCUGUUGGCACCAGCAAUUGAACUCGCUGGACAAGAUAGUACCUAUGGAAAUGAUGGACAGUUUUCAUUUAUACCAGCACUUGUUGGUUUUGUAUUUGGUGCAUUUUUUGUAUAUUUAUCAGACUUAUUCAUAUCAUUGUAUGAAAUGGACGUACUUAAUAUUUUGAUACCAGAAGCAAAUCAGUGUUCAAAAAAGAAAUUUAAAUGUGAUUCUGAUACACAGAAUACUUAUUAUACAAAUAAUCAACAAUCAAUUGGAAUAACAGAUGAGACUUCAGAUGCUCGACAACGAUGUUAUAAAGCUACACAUCCUCCUCCAGAAUAUACUGAAAUAGAAUGUGAUAGUGAUGUGAAAGCAUGUAGUUGGAAACGUAUAUUAUUACUCAUAAUUGCUAUCACUGUACAUAAUAUCCCUGAGGGUUUGGCUGUUGGUAUAGCAUUUGGAGCUGUUGAUUCAUCACCUUCUUCCACGUUUAAUAGUGCUAGAAAUUUAGCCAUGGGAAUUGGCAUACAAAAUUUUCCUGAAGGAUUGGCUGUCAGUUUACCCCUGCAAGCAGCCGGAUGUUCAAAAUGGAAAAGCUUUUGGUACGGACAACUUAGCGGUAUGGUGGAGCCGAUCGCCGGACUCGUGGGCAUAUUCGCCGUUUCGUUGAUCAAACCGCUGUUACCUUACGCCCUGGCGUUUGCCGCAGGCGCGAUGAUUUACGUUGUCGUCAACGACAUCAUACCGGAGUCAAAUUCCAGUGGCAACGGGAAGCUGGCCAGUUGGUGUUGUAUCGUGGGAUUCGCUGUGAUGAUGUCAUUGGACGUGGGACUCGGUUGACUUCAUUAGAAAUCAAUACAAAUUAUGUUUGAAAAAUCUCAGAUCAAAGUCCUAUAAUCAGUAUAAUCAAUAUACGCUGAGUGCCCCAAGCAGGCAAAACGUCCCAUGGGCUAUAUCCAGCUAUACACAGAGGACAUUUAUUUGGAAUAGCAAUGAAACUCAAAAAUAUUAGUGCUACAAUUCUCUUAUCGUGGACUAUAAUCAGGAUCCAUAAUUGGAAAGAAAAUCCGAAAAGAAUUUAAGAAAUAUUUCAAAAAUAAUCAUAUACAAAUCUGUAAAAAACCAUUUUGUUUUCAAAAAUGAAAGAAAUAAUACGGGACAAACACGUGCGCUGCAGGAUUUCGUAAAGGUGUAAGAAGGGGUUCAGGCAAAAAAGGUAUAUGCAGGACAAUGCAUGAAUAUAAAUAAUAUAUACGCAUGUCUGUUGUAAUAUAUGGUACUCCAAUAUAAGAUGAACAAUUCAAAAACGUAAUUUGCAGUCGAAAAGUGGGCGUGACCGAGUGAUACGAGCGUACGCGUUAAACGUGCGGACACCAGCUUAUAUAUAAGUAUAGAUAUAUAAUGCAUAAAAUGAUGUUAAAAUGCAAUCAAUGGUAAAUGUAUAUUAAUUAUUAUAUAUAUAAAAAAAAAAAUUAUACGAUUGACAACUUCAUUGCAAAUUAUAUAUUAUGUAAGUGUCUCA
Aphis gossypii (cotton aphid) is the source of this 1876-nucleotide RNA transcript. It is a transcript of the gene named zinc transporter ZIP11, with no coding region annotated. The transcript has 11 exons. The record is from RefSeq and is a predicted model, not a curated record. Lineage: Eukaryota; Metazoa; Arthropoda; Insecta; Hemiptera; Aphididae.